GGCUUUGUAGUUCAAUGGGUAGAACACCAACCACAUGUUACUAUUGUAACCAUCGUUAAUCCGGUCUGUCGGGUUUGUUUCUUGCUUUCUUGCUGGGUCUGUUUGGCGUUGUGCUUAGUUGGAGACGGAGGUUCGAAGCCUUCCAAAGCCA
This is a non-coding RNA of Hyaloscypha variabilis F, 151 nucleotides long. The record is from the annotation of a GenBank genome assembly. Lineage: Eukaryota; Fungi; Ascomycota; Leotiomycetes; Helotiales; Hyaloscyphaceae.